This 889-nucleotide ribosomal RNA is filed under the name uncultured Methanosaeta sp. Its description in RNAcentral is "bacterial SSU rRNA". It matches the Rfam family "Archaeal small subunit ribosomal RNA", at positions 18 to 907 of the family's 1478-position model. The record is from RNAcentral. Lineage: Archaea; Methanobacteriati; Methanobacteriota; Methanomicrobia; Methanotrichales; Methanotrichaceae.
CAGAGGUUACUGCUAUSGCMGMYUCGACUAAGCCAUGCGAGUUGAAUGUUCUUCGUGAACAUGGCGGACUGCUCAGUAACACGUGGACAACCUACCCUUGGGUCCGGCAUAAUCCUGGGAAACUGGGAAUAAUUCCGGAUAGGUCACCGAUGCUGGAAUGCGCGGUGGCCGAAAGCUCCGGCGCCCGAGGAUGGGUCUGCGGCCUAUCAGGGUUGUAGUGGGUGUAACGUACCUACUAGCCUACGACGGGUACGGGUUGUGAGAGCAAGAGCCCGGAGAUGGAUUCUGAGACACGAAUCCAGGCCCUACGGGGUGCAGCAGGCGCGAAAACUUUACAAUGCGGGAAACCGUGAUAAGGGGAUCUCGAGUGCCAGCAUAUAAUGUUGGCUGUCCAGAUGCCUAAAAAGCAUCUGUUAGCAAGGGCCGGGCAAGACCGGUGCCAGCCGCCGCGGUAACACCGGCGGCCCGAGUGGUAACCGCUAUUAUUGGGUCUAAAGGGUCUGUAGCCGGCCAGGUAAGUCCCUUGGGAAAUCUGGCAGCUCAACUGUCAGGCUGCUAGGGGAUACUGUUUGGCUUGGGACCGGGAGAGGUGAGAGGUACCUUGGGGGUAGGGGUGAAAUCUUGUGAUCCUCGAGGGACCACCAGUGGCGAAGGCGUCUCACCAGAACGGGUCCGACGGUAAGGGACGAAAGCUAGGGGCACGAACCGGAUUAGAUACCCGGGUAGUCCUAGCCGUAAACGAUGCUCGCUAGGUGUCAGUCACGGUGCGACCGUGAUUGGUGCCGUAGGGAAGCCGUGAAGCGAGCCACCUGGGAAGUAUGGCCGCAAGGCUGAAACUUAAAGGAAUUGGCGGGGGAGCACURCAWCGGGUGGAGCCUGCGGUUUAAUG